This is a non-coding RNA of Peromyscus maniculatus bairdii (prairie deer mouse), 954 nucleotides long. Lineage: Eukaryota; Metazoa; Chordata; Mammalia; Rodentia; Cricetidae. The record is from RefSeq and is a predicted model, not a curated record.
GGCUGCAGAGAUGGUUUUCUGAGCAUGGAGCAACUCAAGGCCAACCUUUCCCAGGGGCAGUUUGAGAGAACGCUUUAGAGUAGCUUGGAAAUAGGUUGUCUUGGUGGCUUCUCUCUGACUGCCAACUGCUCAUCAGCUCCCGGGUCACUGUGAGAGUGGACUGACAUUUUCUCUGGGUACCUCUUUCUUCAUUUUGGCCUUGUGUCUGUGCGACCAGAGCCCAUUGUCUCUCAGGAAGGACACCUGAGUUAUGGAAGCCCAACAGUUUUUGUGUGAACUGUAAAUAACAAUGGAAAGGAUCUGGGGUAUUUCAUGGAGUGUCUAUAAGAUUUUUGCUCCCUGGAGGAACAAGUGGGAAUUUUGUGGGAGAGCCUUCCAAGGCGCAUUGAAGCAGAUCACACCCCUUCAGUUCACCUGCUAAGAGGACAAAGGUCAGCAGCAACAGGAUUUAACACGGGGCAAACAGGAAUGUCUCUUUUAACUGUCUGAGCAGCAAACAGAACUCUGAGCCUGCAAGGAACGAUUUCCUCCUCUUGUUGAUAGAUCGACUCAAUCAACAGAAGAGGAGGCGCCCCCGGCUUGUGUCUAGGACUGUUCUCGGCAGCUGUGUGCAUGGCUCUGACUAGGACAGUUGCAGUGUGCGGUCAGAGGAAUGAGAGCCCAGAGCAAGGGCUUUGCCGAGCCGCUCCCCAUGGUUCACACUCAUUUGCAGGACCAUACCAUCCGUUUUAAUUCAUCAGCAGAGCCAUGGAGCCUGUGAUUUUUGCCACUUAGGAGAAGAUAAGAGUGUGGAUGAGCCAGCCUUUGUCUGUCAAAUUCGAUGUGGCUGGACAAGCCAGGGUUGCAAAGCUCAGAAUAAGAGAGUGCAGAAUGAUUGGUGAGCACAGACCGGUGAAAAGACUCAGGGGCUCCUGGGCUGUGAGAGUUCCUGAACUGAGUGGGAGGGUCAGGAAA